RNAcentral lists this ribosomal RNA (459 nucleotides) under uncultured bacterium. RNAcentral describes it as "partial 16S ribosomal RNA". It matches the Rfam family "Bacterial small subunit ribosomal RNA", at positions 338 to 795 of the family's 1533-position model. The record is from RNAcentral.
CCUACGGGAGGCAGCAGUGAGGAAUAUUGGUCAAUGGGCGGGAGCCUGAACCAGCCAAGUCGCGUGAAGGAAGAAGGUACUUAGUAUUGUAAACUUCUUUUGUCGGGGAACAAAUGCCGAUACGUGUCUCCGGAUGAGUGUACCCCAAGAAAAAGCAUCGGCUAACUCCGUGCCAGCAGCCGCGGUAAUCCGGAGGAUGCGAGCGUUAUCCGGAUUUAUGGGGGUUAAAGGGUGGGCAGUCGGGAGAUCAGGUCAGCGGUAAAGUGUCGGGGCUCAACCCCGGCCGGCCGUUGAAACUGGGUGGCUAGAGUGGGGGAGAGGUAUGCGGAAUUCGUGGUGUAGCGGUGAAAUGCGUAGAUAUCACGAAGAACACCGAUUGCGAAGGCAGCAUACCGGAUCGAAACUGACGCUGAGGCACGAAAGCGUGGGGAUCGAACAGGAUUAGAUACCCGUGUAGUC